AAGCAUACACUGUUUACUUCCAUGUACCGUAGGACAGCAUUUCUCUGUAAAUGUUUUUGUACACUAUCAUAAUGUCUAAACUACAUCUGUUGAAUGUGUCUCUUACCGAGCAAUUAACAGCAGCAGCCUUUGAAAUAUUUAGGGCCGUGGUUAGAACGAUAUCGGAGUACGAGUAAGACAUCUCCCGAUCAAAGAAAGAUCGAACGUCUACAAAGGCUAACGUUACUAACGUUAAAUGUCAUCACACAGCCUGAUAGUGAUAUAAAGCAGAUCCCCAGCAGCUAGUAACUCACUGUCCCAGAAGCAGGAGUUCCCCCUGAGCAGCAGCACUGUGACCAGGAGUGGAUCCCAGGUCUGUGGCAGGAUGACCCAGAGCCCACACAGAUUAAAGAGGAACAGUAGUUUGGGAUUGGUCAUGAGGAAGAGCAGAUUCAGAGGCUGGAGUCUGAUACCAAAGAUUCAUAUUAACUUCUCCCUUUGUGAAAAGUGAUUGGGAUCAGGACCCACCCCAGCCUUCACGUAUUCACCAAACCCAAACGACGGAUAAUGACUUUCUACCCACUAAAACAACAGAAGAGAUCCAAACAGAACAUGGAGAGGGCUGUGGAGUUUCAGAACCAAACGGUGAAUUACAGCCCCUCUCUUCAGUAAAUGCAGACUGUUCUCCAGCUCAGAAUGAAAACAGUGAACGUGUCGAUAGUAGUACAUCAACUCUGAGAAAGCAGUCUGACAAAAGAUCGCUGGGGAGAAACUGUUUAACUGCCAUGUGUGCAGUAAAUGUUUCCCUACAGAGGAAUACUGUCAAAGACAUACAAAUACAUACAGGAGAUAAAUAUUUUCAUUACCAUGGUUGUGGCACGUGCUUUACCAGGAAGGGACACUUGGCAGAGCAUUUAAGAUAGUUACACCCAGAAGAGAAGCCAUUCCACUCCCAAGUUUGUAUCAAAUGUCCUCAUCUUUUGAAGGAUCAUAUGAAAUUACACACAGGGGAUACAUAUACACUCCCUCCAUAUGUAUUUGGACAGUAAAGCUAACAUUUUAAAAUUGGCUCCCACAUUUUGGAUUGGGAAUCAAAGGUUUUAUAUGAGGCUACGGUACGUAAUGUCACCUUUUAUUUGAGGGUAUUUUCAUACAGAUUGGUUUUACCGUUUAGAAUUAAAAGCAUUAUGCAUCUAGUGCCCCCAUUUGAAGAAGUCAUAAGUAUUUGGACAAAUUCACUUCGUGUUUGAAGUAGUAAAAAGUUCUGGUGCAUAUUCCGAGCACACAAACAUGUUUGUCGGAUGCAUUUCUUGGGUUGUUUUGCCAAAUAGGAAGUGAAUGGUUCAUUAUAACUGGAGUAAUUUUCUAAGUAGAUCAAAUGUUUCUGCACACUUCUAAAAUAAUCCUGAAUGAAUGAUGAAGAGGCUACAACAAAACAUGCUAACCUCUCACCAUUACCAUCUUCUCUUCCUACAAUAAAAGGGAUUCCAAAAUGACAAUACAUUAUUCACCAUUUAGUUCCUAUUGGGCAAAAUAUCAUCUGAAACACAACCAAAACUAAUUGCAAAUGCAUCCAACAAGUUUGUAGUCAUGUUUGAUGUAGUCAUUGAGUGCAAGGAAUAUGGGACAAAAUAACUUUUGACUAAUAGAAGUGAAAUAAUUAUUCAAAUUGGGGAACUUGAUACAUUUAAGUGCUUUCAUUUUUAAAAUCACAAAACAUGACAAUUCCCUCAAAUAUAAAAGGUGACAUUCUGUACUGUCGCCUCAUACGGAACAUUUGAUCCCAAAUACAAAAUGUUGGCGUAUGGAGCUGAUAUUAAAGUGUUAGUUUCAUUCUCCAAAUACAUGGAGGGAAGUGUACAUGCUCACUGUGUGACCGCAGCUUCAUAUCUCAGAGUAGACUAAACAUCCACCAGCUAGUUCACACAGGGGAGAAGUUUUUUAGCUGCAAUGUGUGCAGCAAAUCUUUCCCUAGGAAGGGAUAUUUACAUACAUAUGAUACACACAUGGUAAAACAAACUUUGUUGCUGUGUUUGGCAUGAAGGCUUCCAUCAAACAGAGCAUAUGAAGACCAGACUCAAGGGUGGACGUGCUCUGUGAGGGAAACAGGAGUCAGUCUGAAUAUCUGAAGGAACAGUUUAACAAUGCAGGACAUUCCCCUCAUGUCACUACUGUUAGUUGACUUAAUCUAAUGUAUUGAUUGAUGAAUGAGGGUAAUUGACAUGAUCUCCUAUUUUUGUGUCCAAGGAUAAUAUUUAUAUGAAAAAAAACAAUAAAUACAAUCUUAUUACAA
Oncorhynchus nerka (sockeye salmon) is the source of this 2272-nucleotide long non-coding RNA. RefSeq lists it as uncharacterized. The transcript is spliced from 2 exons. The record is from RefSeq and is a predicted model, not a curated record. NCBI's taxonomy places the organism in Eukaryota, Metazoa, Chordata, Actinopteri, Salmoniformes, Salmonidae.